This 226-nucleotide ribosomal RNA is filed under the name uncultured bacterium. Its description in RNAcentral is "partial 16S ribosomal RNA". It matches the Rfam family "Bacterial small subunit ribosomal RNA", at positions 118 to 344 of the family's 1533-position model. The record is from RNAcentral.
UGAGCAAUCUGCCCUUCACAUCGGAAUAACCAUUGGAAACGAUGGCUAAUACCGAAUAUGACUUCGGAUCGCAUGAUCUGAAGUGGAAAGCUCCGGCGGUGAAGGAUGAGCUCGCGGCCUAUCAGCUAGUUGGUGAGGUAAUAGCUCACCAAGGCAACGACGGGUAGCCGGCCUGAGGAGGGUCGACCGGCCACACGUGGGACUGAGACACGGCCCAGACCUCCGG